This 868-nucleotide long non-coding RNA is filed under the name Setaria viridis. Its description in RNAcentral is "long non-coding RNA (SVIR_LNC001591)". The record is from RNAcentral. Lineage: Eukaryota; Viridiplantae; Streptophyta; Magnoliopsida; Poales; Poaceae.
UCACCUAUGGCUCACAUGCCACUCUAUGCCAUGGUAUGGCUAGGAGGGAGGAGAGCACCUCUAUUUAUAGGUGCUCAUGAUCAUUGUGGUGUUGCCAUGUGGUAAUUUCCACACUCUUUCAUAUAAAAUAUCCUAAGUGUAGAACCCUCCUCAUACUUAUCUAGUUUCUUAUAUUUCUACCACACUAAAAUAUCUAGUUCUAAAGUAUUCUACACUUCACUAUGAAGCAUGGCAACUAUGGCUCAUGCAUUCUCUCCAAUUUUCUGGAACCAUCUUACCUUACCAUGAUCUUAUAUGGCAAAGUUAGUCUCUUGAGAUCUCCACAAUCUUCUAGAAUGUUCCAAGUAUGCAUUACAUAUUUCAACACUCCCCCUCAAUGCAUACUUGUUUUGGGUGGUCGAACCAUUGCGUAUCGCUGCCCUUGGAUCUUCUGCGCUCUGCAAUAAUGAAUCUUCUUCUUCACUUGCCCUCGUGACAUGGUCUUCUCUUCCUUCAACUCAUAUGCCUCUAUCUUUAGUUGGAGGUUCCCUGCGGACUUGAUGCAUUCAUGCAUCUCUUCUUUCUCCUUCACCCUUCUAGUUGUUUGUCCUGUAGAUGCUUCUUUGUACAAAGGCAAAAUAACUUUAGCCGCUGAAGCAUUGUCAUACCUGAGAUCUUCGCAAUUGCGUUCUUUUGGAAUUUUCUUCGCCUUAUCAUGCUCCUCCAAAUCUUCAUGGAUCACCAAUGCUCGAUGUCUAUCUUUACCAUGCUCUUGUGGCUCCUCGUCAUCAUGAAGAUUAGGCUCUAUCUUCUCAUCUUUAAUAUCUUCCUCGUCGACACUUAGAGCCUUCCAAUCUUCAUCACUAUUAUAUCCAUAUACUACGAAUCC